RNAcentral lists this ribosomal RNA (297 nucleotides) under Pseudarthrobacter enclensis. RNAcentral describes it as "Arthrobacter enclensis partial 16S rRNA. Bacterial SSU". It matches the Rfam family "Bacterial small subunit ribosomal RNA", at positions 1 to 298 of the family's 1533-position model. Lineage: Bacteria; Bacillati; Actinomycetota; Actinomycetes; Micrococcales; Micrococcaceae. The record is from RNAcentral.
UUUCAACGGAGAGUUUGAUCCUGGCUCAGGAUGAACGCUGGCGGCGUGCUUAACACAUGCAAGUCGAACGAUGAAGGGAGCUUGCUCCUGGAUUAGUGGCGAACGGGUGAGUAACACGUGAGUAACCUGCCCUUGACUCUGGGAUAAGCCUGGGAAACUGGGUCUAAUACCGGAUAUGACCUUCCAUCGCAUGGUGGUUGGUGGAAAGCUUUUGUGGUUUUGGAUGGACUCGCGGCCUAUCAGCUUGUUGGUGGGGUAAUGGCCUACCAAGGCGACGACGGGUAGCCGGCCUGAGAG